Molecule: non-coding RNA, 805 nt
Organism: Megalopta genalis
Lineage: Eukaryota; Metazoa; Arthropoda; Insecta; Hymenoptera; Halictidae
Source: RefSeq, a predicted model, not a curated record
AGUAUAUUAGCAUAUAAUAUACUAGUACGUACUAGUCAAAUAUCGCGCCACGUGUUUCAGAUGGUGCACCAAGCAUGCGAAUGCGCGAAAAGAGUGAGACAAGCUGCAUUAGUCGUCGGUGUGACUUGUUUCACUUGUGGUUGUGCUGAUAUCGUGCUAAUACGUACGGUUUUGACCGUCGCAGGAUCUAACUCUUUACGAACCGUGUUGCUCAUCGAGCGAGUGUCGUUAUGGACGAGAGAUAUUGACUUUGGGACUGGUUUCGGAACAAUAUUCGCAACAUGAAAGGAGUUGUUACAUGUUUUCCCGCUUUUUGUAAAGAAACCGCGCGUCGCGUGCAAACGCGCGACGAAUAGAGACGCUCGCAACGGAAAAACGAGGGAAAAGCGUCGCAGAAGAGGAAGAUUAGAAUGCGCGCCAAGUUUUUACCUGGUCCUGGCAGCGCUGCGCCGUGGUGGUGACUUGCGGAGGCUUCCGGAAGAUCGGGAUCGUUCUGAACGGGCGGGCAGCCGUUUGAAGUGAACGCCGCUCUUCCACUCCGUUAACUGUACCGGCUAACGAAGCACAAGUUCAAACUGAAAUGACUCGGAUCUCCGGCAUCGCGCACUUUUAUGCUGUGCCCGCCAACCUUCCCCUCCACAACGCUUUUUCCCAGGGCUGCCGCAUAACUUGCUGACAGGCAGGAGAGUGGGUAAAUUACAGAUAAUGGUGGGAGUACCUUGGCAACCGACGGGUCGCGAAACCGUGAGCUGGAAACUGACGUAUCAGGCCUGGAGCAGUUCGCGGAAUCGGCGAGAGGGGGGGG